UAGCUCAGUACACGUGGAGACGUGCCCUUAGUGGGGGAUAAUCUCGGGAAUUGAGGAUAAUACCCCAUAGGUCAUGGGAUCUGGAAUGACCCAUGGCUGAUAGUUCCGGCGCUUAAGGAUCGCUCUGCGGCCUAUCAGGUAGUAGUGGGUGUAACGUACCCCCUAGCCUACGACGGGUAUGGGCCUUGAGAGAGGGAGCCCAGAGUUGGAUUCUGAGACACGAAUCCAGGCCCUACGGGGCGCAGCAGUCGCGAAAACUUCACACUGGGGGGAACCCCGAUGAGGGAAUUCCUAGUGCUUGGGCAUUUGUCCAAGCUUUUCCCGAGCGUAGAUAACUCGGGGAAUAAGGGCUGGGUAAGACGGGUGCCAGCCGCCGCGGUAAUACCUGCAGCCCGAGUGGUGGUCGAUUUUAUUGAGUCUAAAGCGUUCGUAGCCGGUCCGUUAAAUCCUUGGGUAAAUCGGGAAGCUCAACUU
This 474-nucleotide ribosomal RNA is filed under the name uncultured bacterium. RNAcentral's name for it is "bacterial SSU rRNA". It matches the Rfam family "Archaeal small subunit ribosomal RNA", at positions 86 to 565 of the family's 1478-position model. The record is from RNAcentral.